GUGGGAUUGGUUGAGGCCGGCCGCGCGUCCUCCAUUUUGAGCCGCGCAGGGCCGUGGGGUGAGGUUGUUGUGUCGAGCGGCUGAAAUAGAAAGCGGCGCAGGUCAGCAACGAUGAGUGCUCGGGUAUUCAUUGGCAGACUGAGUCCUUAUGCCACUGAAAAAAAUGUGGAGAGGUUCUUCAGAGGGUAUGGACGAAUUAAGGAAAUUGAUCUGAAGAAUGGAUUUGGAUUUGUGGAGUUUGAAGAUUACAGAGAUGCAGAGGAUGCAGUUUAUGAACUGGAUGGGAAAGAGUUGUGCAAUGAGAGAGUGACAGUUGAGCAUGCCAGAGCGCGCAAUAGGGGAGGACGAGGAGGAAGGUAUCAAGGUCGCUUUAGCCAAAGCUAUCAACGUAGUUCGGGAAGAAAUGGGCCGCCAGUUCGUACAGAAAACAGAGUUAUUGUUGAAAAUCUGUCCUCCAGAGUUAGCUGGCAGCCUCUCGUGUCGUUGGCCUUGUGACGUGGAGUGCCGUUGGUUUUCCUAAUCGCUGUGCCUUGGUCUCUUGGGCCUAGUUGAAAUGCCAAUCUGCUCCUACCUUUGUCAGUUGCUGAUCUAAAUCUGUGUUGUGGUGGCCUGACCAACACUGGUGGGCACUGGGUUUAGUGCCAUUACCUUGCUGCAUCCCUGAAAAUGAUAACAAGGUGUCCUAAAGUCGAGAGUUCUGAGAGCCUGCUGUAAAAUGCGAGGUCCUUGAUUGGGAGAAAUUCGCUGGUAGGGUUGUUUGGAAGCUCGAUUUGGAGUGAGGCAAGAAGUCCGUGGUCACAGCGCAAGAGUAGCAAUCCCUGUUCCUAUGGCAAUGCCAGAGUCUGCCUUUAAGGGAGGGUGAUGACCGGGAAGGCUUCCAUCGAAUGGGUAGUGUCAGUCAAGCGGGUGGUGAAGAGAACCAUCUGGUCUUCGGUCGUGGUGGUGCCUCUGCGAACACUUGUUACAUUUGGCUGGUUGAAUAGCCUAGGGAAUUGUACGGGAAGGAUCUGAAGGAUUUCAUGAGGCAGGCUGGAGAAGUUACCUUUGCAGAUGCACACAGGCACAAGAUGAACGAAGGAAUUGUUGAGUUUGCCUCCUAUAGUGAUGUGAAAAAUGCUCUUGAGAAGCUCUCUGGCACAGAGCUCAAUGGAAG
Molecule: RNA transcript, 1153 nt
Organism: Pristis pectinata (smalltooth sawfish)
Lineage: Eukaryota; Metazoa; Chordata; Chondrichthyes; Rhinopristiformes; Pristidae
Gene name: serine/arginine-rich splicing factor 5-like
Exons: 8
Source: RefSeq, a predicted model, not a curated record